Molecule: unclassified non-coding RNA, 477 nt
Filed under: Arabidopsis thaliana (thale cress)
Lineage: Eukaryota; Viridiplantae; Streptophyta; Magnoliopsida; Brassicales; Brassicaceae
Source: RNAcentral
GGAGGACUCUCGCAUCGAUUCCGUCUCGCCAUCACUCCAUCUUCAUUGAUCCAUCUCUCUCUCUUUCACGAACCCAUCGGUUUCGUUCUCCGUUUAUACCACACGUGCUCUGUUUUUGUGUCUAAAAACAGAGUAGCCGUAUUUCAUCUCUUUUAAGCUUCUGCCUCUACACCAGAUUGGUAAGAUAUGAUGGUUUGAUAAGAGUCGUUGAAGGCUUUAAGAGGCAGAACGUCAUGAAGGCCUUAACUACGUAAGCCUAGUAUGGUUACUAUUAAUUUCAAAUUCAAUUACUGCAAGAUCCACGUGGUAUCCAUCUAUGACUGGAUAUAGUUCCGACCACAUAUCCAGGAUCCGCGUGUCAAUGUGCAGCCAAUUGUCCAAAGUACCCUUCCACAAAAUACUUAAUUUACUCUUGGAAUGCAAAAUUGUAACUGCAUCCUAUGUAAUAAACUACCUCAUAAAGUUAUUUAGUUUACA